GAUGAACGCUGGCGGCGUGCCUAAUACAUGCAAGUCGAGCGAACAGACGAGGAGCUUGCUCCUCUGACGUUAGCGGCGGAGGGGUGAGUAACACGUGGAUAACCUACCUAUAAGACUGGGAUAACUUCGGGAAACCGGAGCUAAUACCGGAUAAUAUAUUGAACCGCAGGGUUCAAUAGUGAAAGACGGUUUUGCGGUCACUUAUAGAUGGAUCCGCGCCGCAUUAGCUAGUUGGUAAGGUAACGGCUUACCAAGGCAACGAUGCGUAGCCGACCUGAGAGGGUGAUAGGCCACCUUGGAACUGAGACACGGUCCAGACUCCUACGGGAGGCAGCAGUAGGGAAUCUUCCGCAAUGGGCGAAAGCCUGACGGAGCAACGCCGCGUGAGUGAUGAAGGUCUUCGGAUCGUAAAACUCUGUUAUUAGGGAAGAACAAAUGUGUAAGUAACUAUGCACGUCUUGACGGUACCUAAUCAGAAAGCCACGGCUAACUACGUG
Molecule: ribosomal RNA, 497 nt
Filed under: uncultured bacterium
Lineage: Bacteria
Description: partial 16S ribosomal RNA
Rfam family: Bacterial small subunit ribosomal RNA
Source: RNAcentral